RNAcentral lists this long non-coding RNA (3038 nucleotides) under Homo sapiens (human). RNAcentral describes it as "HSALNT0030867". The record is from RNAcentral. Lineage: Eukaryota; Metazoa; Chordata; Mammalia; Primates; Hominidae.
GCUUACUGCACUUACUAGCAUAUCAAGAAUGGUUCCAUAUCAAUCUGAAGCCAUUUUAACAUAGUAGUCUCUGUGUUUUACACUCUCUGUGCCUCUCCUGUGUGUGAACAUUUGUCUGGCCAUACAUUCCUCCGGAGCACUAACCUUGACACCAAGAACAACUUACUCCCAUCUGGGUUAAGCCAUAGGUGGAACGCUGCUACUCCAGCUAUUUCAAUUUGUCUGCAUAUUCCACAUCUAAUCUUGGUAAUGCCAAGGGUCUAGUUCUUGAGUUUUUAGAGCAUCUGAGCUUUGGCCAUUUUGGUAGGCUUUUAAUCCAAUCUGCCAUCUAACAGCCUAGAAAAAAUUUAAACCAAGCUCCAAUUUCUCAUAGAAACCCUGUCUUCAAGAUCUGCCACACAUAUGAAAAGUUGCAAUGCCAGAAGCACAUGCUUCUGAACAAAAAGUAUACCAGUGAAAACUAUUGUGCAGUGAAAAAGGCAUCUGGUGAAACGUGUUGAAAAAAAGGUGGGGGGGGAGGUAUCCACACACACCCAUUUCUUAUACACACAUCCCAUAUCAUUCUCGAUCAUCUCAGGAAUAGGGAUCAACAGAGUAAUGUACAGAGGUAUAAAAAGAAAAGCUAGCAAAGGCAAGCAAAGCCACCAUGUAGGAGUAAGGAACUGCAUAGGAAACAGUAGUAAAGGUGUGGGUUGUGUCCAGUUUUUAAAAACAGGACUUAUUCACAGGCCAUGGAGCAAACACCAUAAAUCUGGUCACUGGAUGAAAACAAAUGCUGAAGGCCAAAGCCUGGGGGUUUUCAGUUAGUAUUUCAAUCGGGAAGCCAAUAAACUAUUAAAACGGAGCUAUUCCCUAGAUUCUGGCCUAUAAAACCACCCCACAAGAGAGAAAUCAUCUAACGGCCUGUGUCUCCUCACCACAGUGAUUGCUGAUAAAAACAGCAACCUCAUCUUAAGAAAAAUAAUCCCCCCAUCCCCCGCAAAGGAAACAAACGUACAAAGAAGACAAAGCAUGCACAUGCGUUUCAAAGGAUAUGAUCAAAUGCAAACUAAUAAAAUAGAAACAACUAAUAAAAAGAAAUCUCAGUUUGAAAUCCCAUCAGGAAGCCCAUCUCUGAUUCUGCUCUUGGAAUCCUCUCAGAUUCUGUUCUUGGAAUCCAAUCCCUACCUCAGACUGGGCUGACACUAGCUUUUCUCCCUAGAGUAGUUAACAAAACAAUGAGUGAUCAGAAAAGAGAUGUCAGGAGUCCCGUGGUCAGAAUCUCACACUCAGGAAGUCUGUGUAUUCAUAGCGAUGGAUCUACCAGGAAGCCCUUUCAGGCAGACCAUGUUUGAAGGAAAGCAUCCUCCUCGGGGCCUCUGUUUUGAGCACACUGACUGAUCAGGGCUCCAACCAGUAUCCUUGUUUCCCUGCCGAUCCUCUAAGUUGCUUUCAAGGUGGAGAAUUCCCAAAUCACUAAACUGCCUAUUACAAUACUAUCCUGAGACAGGGAAGUGAAAGGUCUUGGUCCUGGAAGAGCCCUGCCACGCCCCCUGUGAAGUCACUGGCCCAAAGGUGGGCCAGGAAACACAUUUCCACUCCUUUACACAGUGAGUUGCCCCAGAAAUGUGAGUGUGAAGCCAUGUUGGUUCUAUCAGCCCCAGCUGAGGUCUCAGAUGAAAGCAGCCACCUGAGUGAUCCCAGAUGACAACACAUGGCGAAGAAGGACUGCCCAGCUAAACCCGCCUGCCACACAGAAUUGUGAGAAAUGAUAAAUUGUUAAGUCAUUAAAUUUUGGGGUUGUUUGUCAUGCAGCAAUACGUAAUUGAAACACAGUUAUAAUACUGAAGGCAAUGAGUUAGACUCUGUGGAAAAGGUAAUACUAAAUAGAAGAGAUGCUGAUAACAAGGAGCACACGAUUUACCUUUACUAUAUUGAUUCUCUCAUAGUUCUAGAAGUCAGAAGUCUGAAAUCAGUAUCAAGGGUAUCAAAAUCAAAGUGUCAGCAAGGUACCUCUAGAGACUCUACAGCAGAAUCCCAUCUUGAUCUCUUCCACCUGCUGGUGGCUGUCAGUAUUUCUUGGCUUAUAGCUGCGUAUUAGUCCGUUUUCAUGCUGCUAUGAAGAAAUACCCGAGACUGAAUAAUUUGUAAAGAAAAGAGGUUUAAUUGACUCACAGUUCUGCAUGGCUGGGGAGGCCUCAGGAAAUUUACAAUCAUGGUGGAAGACACCUCUUCACAGGGCAGCAGGAGAGAGAAUAAGAGCCAAGCAAAGGGAGAAAAGCCCCUUAUAAAACCAUCACCCCCCAUGAUUCAAUUACCUCCCACCAGUUCCGUCCUACGAUGCAUGGGGAUUAAGGGAACUACAAUUCAAGAUGAGAUUUGGAUGGGGUCACAGCCAAAUCAUAUCAAGCCAAACCAUAUCAAACCAUAUCUAUAUUACUCCAAUCUCUGUCACUGUGGUCAUACUCUUUUCUUCUGUCUCCCAAAUCUCCCUCUGCCUCCUUUGUAUAGGCAAUUUCAUUAGGGCCCACCCAGCUAAGCCAAGAUAAUCAUCACCCCAACUCAAGAUUCUUAAUCACAUCUACAAAGAUCCCCUUUCCCUUACAAGAUAGCAUUUAUAGAUUCUGGGAAUUAGGAUCUGAGAUCUUUGAAGGGCCAUUAAUCUGCCUGUCACAAAUGCUAAAACACAAGAGUUAAGGCACUGCAAAAACUGAUUAUAGGAAUUGGAGUUAUUCCUGUCAUAUCCAAGCAAAUCAGAGUCAAGGAACCCAGGGAAAAAGCACUCAGGACACAAAGUGCCAGCUCCAGGAACUGUCUCACAAGCCCAGCUGCUGAAAUAACCUCCCAUAGCCUUAAGACUAGUUUUACCUAGUAGCUGCUGAAACGACCUGUAAUUUAAUGAACUUUGUUUCAAAACAUUUUAUGUAAUAUUUCUCUUUCCCAGUAAAAUCCCAACAUUUCCUUUGUACUUUGGACAUACCAAAAACCACUCUGGUCUUUGCAUAUAUCCCAAUUUACAAUUCUGUUUUUAUAUAUAUAUAUUCCUAAAUAAAACUUUC